GUGUUUGUUUCAGCAGCACAUAUACUAAAAUUGGAAUGAUACAGAGAAGAUUAGCAUGGCCCCUGUGUAAGGAUGACAUGGAAAUUCAUGAAGCAUUCCACAUUAAA
Molecule: small nuclear RNA, 107 nt
Filed under: Echinops telfairi (small Madagascar hedgehog)
Lineage: Eukaryota; Metazoa; Chordata; Mammalia; Afrosoricida; Tenrecidae
Source: RNAcentral